GAUGAAGAACGUAGCGAAAUGCGAUACUUGGUGUGAACUGCAGAAUCCCGUGAACCAUCGAGUCUUUGAACGCAAGUUGCGCCCGAAGCCACUAGGCCGAGGGCACGCCUGCCUGGGCGUCACACGCCGUUGCCCCCCCAUCUACUCCUUCGGGAUUGCGGGGGGGCGGAUGAUGGCCUCCUGUGCGCCUAGCCGCGCGGUUGGCAUAAAUACCAAGUCCUCGGCGACGCACGCCACGACAAUCGGUGGUUGCGAAACCUCGGUUGCCCGUCGUGUGCGUUCGUCGCGCAUCGAGGGCUCGAAAAAAUGCUCGGCUCCGGCUGGGCUUUCAACGCGACCCCAGGUCAGGCGGGGUUACCCGCUGAAUUUAAGCAUAUCAAUAAGCGGAGGA
This 391-nucleotide unclassified non-coding RNA is filed under the name soil metagenome. RNAcentral describes it as "partial contains 5.8S ribosomal RNA, internal transcribed spacer 2, and large subunit ribosomal RNA". The stretch from base 1 to 122 matches the Rfam family "5.8S ribosomal RNA", at positions 35 to 154 of the family's 154-position model. The record is from RNAcentral.